RNAcentral lists this ribosomal RNA (718 nucleotides) under Phyllactinia sp. HMAS40342. Its description in RNAcentral is "eukaryotic LSU rRNA". It matches the Rfam family "Eukaryotic large subunit ribosomal RNA", at positions 81 to 814 of the family's 3401-position model. Lineage: Eukaryota; Fungi; Ascomycota; Leotiomycetes; Helotiales; Erysiphaceae. The record is from RNAcentral.
UAGUAACGGCGAGUGAAGCGGUAACAGCUCAAAUUUGAAAUCUGGCUCCCUGCGGAGUCCGAGUUGUAAUUUGUAGAAGAUGCUUUGGGUGCACGACCCGGCCUAAGUGCCUUGGAACAGGACGUCGUAGAGGGUGAGAAUCCCGUAUGCGGCCGGCGUCGACGCCCGUGUAAAGCUCUUUCGACGAGUCGAGUUGUUUGGGAAUGCAGCUCAAAAUGGGUGGUAAAUUUCAUCUAAAGCUAAAUAUGGGCCAGAGACCGAUAGCGCACAAGUAGAGUGAUCGAAAGAUGAAAAGCACUUUGGAAAGAGAGUUAAACAGUACGUGAAAUUGUUGAAAGGGAAGCGCUUGCAACCAGACUUGGGCGUCGCUGAUCAUCCAAAGUUCUCUUUGGUGCACUCGACGACGCACAGGCCAGCAUCGGUUGGGGUGGUGGGAGAAAGACUGUAGGAACGUAGCUCUUUUCGGAGAGUGUUAUAGCCUGCGGUGCAAUACUGCCUACCUCGACCGAGGACCGCGCUUCGGCUAGGAUGCUGGCGUAAUGGUUGUAAGCGACCCGUCUUGAAACACGGACCAAGGAGUCUAAUAUCUAUGCGAGUGUUUGGGUGCGAAACCCAUGCGCGAAAUGAAAGUGAACGUAGGUGAGAACCCUUUGAGGGGGCAUCAUCGACCGAUCCUGAUGUCUUCGGAUGGAUUUGAGUAAGAGCAUAGCUGUUGGGA